This 3999-nucleotide long non-coding RNA is filed under the name Olea europaea subsp. europaea. Lineage: Eukaryota; Viridiplantae; Streptophyta; Magnoliopsida; Lamiales; Oleaceae. The record is from RNAcentral.
GAGUUAUACAAAUCAGCCAUGAGACUAAAGGUACCUUCACUGUUAAUGGGCAAAGGCUAAAGCACUACUGGGGUGAUGACUUCUCCAUCCAAAAGUCCACCGUUUAACUCGGGACACCAAAGUAAAGCAGCUGCAGAAAAGUCGAGCUAUCGACUAUAAUCUAGCGCUAGGUGGGAGGCAACCCACUGUAUCCUUUUAAUUUAAUUUAUUUUUGCUUUCUGCAUCAGAUUAGGAAUUUUUUUUUAAUUUCAUUUUUUUAAAAAAAAAUUUAAUUUGGUCAUUGAUCCUCCAUACAUGUUAAAAGAGUCCAAGCACUGUCCACACGAGUCCCUAAGCAUCACACACGAGUUGGGGUCGAUCGGGGUUGUUUUUGGUAAUUGGGGGUGUAAUUCAAGCAUUUCGAGGCAAAAAUUUUUUUUUUUCAAAAAUUUGGUUUCGGGCACUAAGUUUAUGGCCUAUGCAUACCCUAAAAUGUUUAGAAAUGUAUCUUUGAAAAAGUUGGGUCAUUGAGAAGUCAGGCCGACCACUAACUUGAAAGCCAAAUUUUGAGGUGCAAUUUAAUCAAACUUGUGAUUUUGAGGGAAUUGAAUAUAUUUUCAAAGUUUUUUUUUUUAAAAUUCGUUUUUUUUUUUUUUUUUUUUAGCAUGAAAAAAAAAAUUGGCUAAUGCGGUCGCACUGUGCGACCGCACAAGCAGAGGCCGGGAAUUAAGUGGCCAAAGCCACUUGAACCAUGCGACCACAAAGCUUAAAGCCAUGCGGCCGCAUGGCAAAAAUCAGGCGUGGGUUUUUAACCCACACCCGGUUCCUUCAUUCUCACUCAAAUUUCUUCCCAAUUCUCUCAUGACCAAAACCAAUCUAGGGCACGAUUUCUACACUCGAUUGAGUUUGAGUCACAUACACUACACACGAAUACUAUUAUUGAAGUGCAAUAUCAUCUAAAGGAAAUCAUUUUUUGAACUCAAAUCAACCCUUACAAAUACAAGGUAAUUGUUCUUAAAUCCCUCUCGAUUCCGUCUUAGGGUUAGUCACGUUUGAAAUUUCAAUUUUGAGGUAUUGAGGGAGAUUGGGCUAGUUCAUGUAUGGGUGGAUUUGAUGUGAUUGUGUUGUGAGGACUAUGGAAUGAUUUGAAAAUUCAAUUCAUUAUAUUGGCAACACCUUCACAUUAUGCAUGCUAUAUGUUUGAUGAAAUGCCAUAGUGAAUAUUCUAUGUUUUAUGGUGCUUCUUGCAUUGCAUGUGAUUGGUGGAUGAAUUAAAAUACAUAUUGUGAUGCAUUCCUAUGUACAUUAACUAGAAAGGCACUUAUCUUAUAGUAAUAGAUGCUAGAUUGUUAAAUGUGCGUCAUUUUGGCAUAACUUAGACUCCAAUUGUUGAAAUUCUAGAGAUCCCAUACAAUAGCUUGCUACAUGUUUGAUCAAUUGUCAAUGUGAAAUGAGUUAUGCAUUUUAGUGAAUUUGCGCAUUGGAUAUACAAACUGGGAUGUGACUAACGUUGAUGCUCUCUUUGUUUGUUAAAGUGACGGGGUAUAACAGUUGAGGGGUUCGUGAAUAUGGUUGCAAUAUGUACUGUUUAGCUAGAGCUUGUUUACCCACUCAAAAAAAUUCCUUGAACUACACAGUAUACAUGCUAUGCAUUCACAUGAGUAAUAUAUGAAUGAGAGUGGGGUAAUGUGAUGAAUUCCCAUAACACAUGAAUUGGAAAUUAUAAGAACCAAACUUGACUAUACAAGGCACAUGAUUAGGUCACUGCACACGGCACCCUCCGUCCCCUACUUUGCAUCUUUAUUUAACACAUCAAACGACAUCCAGUUGGGUUGAAAUUUGAGUAUGUGCUACACUUCAAUGAAUACUUUGAUAUGCUCAGAAAUUGUCCGGGAAAAUUUUGAUAAUUCUCAAUGAUGUCAAGGGCCGAAAGUGCGCACUCGGUCAUGGUUCCAAAUUCUGAAAUAUUGCAUAGUUACACCGAGUUUUUCUCCAUUUUCAUAUUGGCGAAAUACUUGAAUUCAAUAAAACAUCAUAUCUUGACUAGUGCACACCAUGUUGCUAUACAUGCAUCUAGGAAAGUUUGGGGGAUUUGUACAAUGCAUAUUUUAUUUUCUCAUUUCUUGCCUAUUCUUUUCACAUCGAACUUAAUGAGUGUAAUCUUACAAACUUUGCAGGAUGCCUCCUAAAAGAACUUUGAACGGGAAAGAAAAAGCAAGCUCCUCUACCUGGACAGCCCGUACUCGAGAGCUCGCGAGAGAAGUUCAGCAAUUCUUAACUGCAACUACCGCGGCACGAUAUGAAAACAUUGUACGCCAUUGGACUUUACAUGCUGAAAGACCCGUUAAGCUUGAUGACUUCUCGGGUUUUGAGUUGAUCAAUUUAAUUCAGCUAUGUGGGUGGCAAAAGUUAGUGGAGAGACCACAUCCACUCUAUGAGACUUUAUGCCGAGAGUUCUUCGCCAAUUUCAACAGUGACAUUGACACGCCAGGCUCCGAGCAUUUCCAUCAGACUUGGUUGUGGGGAAAAUGGAUUAUGUUCUCUCUCGAGGUCAUUCAUGAUUACUACCAGCUUACCAUGGAGAAUGUGGUCCUCUCCCAAUUGACUUUCACUGGAAUGAAGUGGCUGAGGUUUUAAUGGGUCAGGAGAAAGCAUGGCCCCUCGAAACUACCGAGUGGCAUCAGAUUGAGCUUACCCCUUCCAUGGCCAUUCUAUGGCUCUUUAUGUGCCACAAUGUCGAGCCCAUAUUACACAGGACUACAUUUCUAGAUCAGACAGCAGGAUUCAUCUACCACUUGGCUCGAGGCAACAAAAUUGAUCUCGCUACUCAUAUAUACAAUCAACUACACUCAUUGGGAACUUGGAGAGAUCGCCGCUCCACUUUGAUAUUCCCGAGCCUCAUUAGUGGCAUAUGUGGGGCUGCGGGUGUUGCCCUCCUACCUGAGGAGUUACCUGAAAAACCCAGCCCCAUGAUCAAACGAACUACAUUUGACGCUCAGACAAGGGCUCGGGUUAAACACAGGGAAGAGCAAGAAAAUGAGCGACGUAGACAGCAUGCAGAACAAGGCCAAAUCCCUGCAGAUCAGGAACAUCCACGGGCUCCAGCACCACAAGCUAACGUGGAUAAUCAGUUGUUGAGACAGAUCUUCUCCACCACCGCGGGCAUUAGCCGAGACCUUCACAGUUUCUUUCAAGAUUUUGGCAACAUGAGGACUGAAUUGAGAAAUUUACAAAGAGAUAAUCACCUUGCGUUGAACUACAUCAGAGAUGCCAGGGAUCAUGCCACAGUCAUGCGAUGGGAGGUUGAUACCAUGAAUGGCCGGUUGAACUUGUAUGUUGGUCGGGUGGACGGCAUCCAAAUGAGGGUCAGUGAAACUUGGGAGACCAUGAGAGCUAUCCAGGCCGAGUAGACACAGCAGUCUACCUUGAUGCGGGAGAUGAAUGAGAUGAUGCGACAGCUCCUUGGACGACACCCUCCUCCACCAUAUGAUGGUACAGCAGGACCCAGUUUCCUACCACCUCAUCCAUUUUGAUUCAAGGGAAGUAGUAUUUACCACAUUUUGAUUUUCCUUUUUAUGUUGUCCGUAAAAUUUUGUCUUUAAUCUUCUGUUAAUUUUACAUUGAGGACAAUGUAGUAACAAAGUUUGGGGAGGUGACAUAAUUUUAUAAUUUUAACUAAGUAUCUGUGUUCAUCGGUAUCUGUAUUCCACAAUGUGUGCAUGAUAAAAAAAAAAUUAUACAUUUUAUUCAGUUUUGCUUUAAUUCUUUUCAUGCAUGCUUGUGUAGGCUUGAUAACCUUGCUAGCUAUGAUGUUAUAAUUGGACUAGUUUAAACUGCAAAAACUUUGGAUCUGAUGCAACUAGGCUAACUAACACUUGUUGAUGCAAAACUUGACAUUAUCUGUGCACACUAUUCAUGCUUGACAUGUUAGAUAAAUUACUAGAUUUUGAGCAUAAAAUAGGAAAAGAAUGAUAACCUUCUAUUGAAUUAAACCGUAAACUGCCUUAAGAUAGUUUGGUG